ACGGGUGAGUAACACGUGGGUAACCCCUCCUUAAGUGGGGGAUAACAUUUGGAAACAGAUGCUAAUACCGCAUAGAUCCAAGAACCGCAUGGUUCUUGGCUGAAAGACGGCGUAAGCUAUCGCUUUUGGAUGGACCCGCGGCGUAUUAGCUAGUUGGUGAGGUAAUGGCUCACCAAGGCGAUGAUACGUAGCCGAACUGAGAGGUUGAUCGGCCACAUUGGGACUGAGACACGGCCCAAACUCCUACGGGAGGCAGCAGUAGGGAAUCUUCCACAAUGGACGCAAGUCUGAUGGAGCAACGCCGCGUGAGUGAAGAAGGCUUUCGGGUCGUAAAACUCUGUUGUUGGAGAAGAAUGGUCGGCAGAGUAACUGUUGUCGGCGUGACGGUAUCCAACCAGAAAGCCACGGCUAACUACGUGCCAGCAGCCGCGGUAAUACGUAGGUGGCAAGCGUUAUCCGGAUUUAUUGGGCGUAAAGCGAGCGCAGGCGGUUUUUUAAGUCUGAUGUGAAAGCCCUCGGCUUAACCGAGGAAGCGCAUAGGAAACUGGGAAACUUGAGUGCAGAAGAGGACAGUGGAACUCCAUGUGUAGCGGUGAAAUGCGUAGAUAUAUGGAAGAACACCAGUGGCGAAGGCGGCUGUCUGGUCUGUAACUGACGCUGAGGCUCGAAAGCAUGGGUAGCGAACAGGAUUAGAUACCCUGGUAGUCCAUGCCGUAAACGAUGAAUGCUAGGUGUU
This 736-nucleotide ribosomal RNA is filed under the name uncultured bacterium. RNAcentral's name for it is "bacterial SSU rRNA". It matches the Rfam family "Bacterial small subunit ribosomal RNA", at positions 102 to 824 of the family's 1533-position model. The record is from RNAcentral.